GUCCUGUUGCCAUCAGGGAAAGAUCUGCAGAUUACAGCAGGAGUCAAUCACAGCUUUCCCAAAAGCUCUCACCUGACUCGAGUCCAAAAAGCAGAUGCUGCCCUCUUUUACACUGGUGCAAUUCUGGAAUAACUCCGCUGACGUCAGUGAAGUGACUCCAAAUUUAUCCACGGCAAAAGCAGAAUUGGACCGCGGUCUCUUUGUCUGCCUCUCUGCUCCAGAGCUCUGGGGGAGUUGUGCCACUGCCACACCAUAAGAUCCAUCUUAAAAGGACCUAAAAUUAGAUGCCAUGAAAAUGGCUCUGGGAAUCCCCAAGGUCCCGGCUACGGUAAGAAUCAGACUUUGUGCCUCUGUCCUUGAAGAGCACGGCCCUGCAGUGCAUCCUAACACAUUUUGCAACAUUCUAAUAAAUAUAUUUCAUCUCAUGCAAGAAGAAAGGUGUGUAAUUCCCAGGAGCUUCAAGGAAAAAUUGGCCCUAAAGCAGAUCCCAGGAGGCAUUAAGGCUGGAUUCUGUAUGCUGCAAGGCUGUCAUGUCAGGAUGCUGCAAAAGAGGUUGUUACAUCUUCUUCCUGAAAAGUUGGUGGAGUUUCUCUCUAUGCAGAGGGUACAACCUUUAUGGUCAGGAAACUGUUUUCCUUGCUCUGUGGUUUUCUUGCUGCUGCUGCUGCUUUUAAAGGGGUCAGCACUCUUAGCUCCAGGAAACUGAAACUAAAUGUGAGCAGGGACUGGAGGAAGGAAGCAGGGAGAAUCCCCUACAAGAUUCCAAAAACUAAAUAAAGCAGGAUUCAACUGCCA
RNAcentral lists this long non-coding RNA (795 nucleotides) under Lonchura striata (white-rumped munia). RNAcentral's name for it is "domestica (Bengalese finch) lncRNA (ENSLSDG00000004784.1)". The record is from RNAcentral. Lineage: Eukaryota; Metazoa; Chordata; Aves; Passeriformes; Estrildidae.